GGCCUAUUAGCUCAGUUGGAUAGAGCGUCAUGCUAAUAACGCAAAGAUCGUAGAUUCGAAACCUGCAAGGGCCA
Non-coding RNA from Gossypium arboreum, 74 nucleotides. The record is from Rfam. NCBI's taxonomy places the organism in Eukaryota, Viridiplantae, Streptophyta, Magnoliopsida, Malvales, Malvaceae.